GGAGUUAAGAAAAUGUAAGUGUGCUAAUACCACAUUUAUUUGACGAAGGCUCCAAAGGAAGCCACGGCUAACUCUGUGCCAGCAGCCGCGGUAAUACAGAGGUGGCAAGCGUUGUUCGGAAUUAUUGGGCGUAAAGAGCACGUAGGUGGGUUUGUAAGUCAGAUGUGAAAGCCUUCUGUUCAACGGAAGAAUUGCAUCUGAAACUGCGAGUCUUGAGUGUAGGAGGGGAGAAUGGAACUUCUGGUGGAGCGGUGAAAUGCGUAGAUAUCAGAAGGAACGCCGGCGGCGAAAGCGAUUCUCUGGCCUAUUACUGACGCUCAGUGUGCGAAAGCUAGGGGAGCAAACGGGAUUAGAUACCCCGGUAGUCCUAGCCGUAAACGAUGGGCACUAAGUAGAGGGAAUUACCGAUGUUCUCUCUGCCGUAGCUAACGCAUUAAGUGCCCCGCCUGGGGAGUACGGCCGCAAGGCUAAAACUCAAAAGAAUUGACGGGGGCUCGCACAAGCGGUGGAGCAUGUGGCUUAAUUCGAUGCAACGCGAAGAACCUUACCGGGGCUUGACAUGGUAGAAGUAGGAACCCGAAAGGGUAACGAACGGUAUCCAGUCCGUAACUAUCACAGGUGUUGCAUGGCUGUCGUCAGCUCGUGUCGUGAGACGUUGGGUUAAGUCCCCUAACGAGCGAAACCCUUGUUUUUAGUUACCAGCGGGUUGUGCCGGGUACUCUAGAAAGACUGCCGUCGUCAAGACGGAGGAAGGUGGGGAUGACGUCAAGUCAUCAUGGCCCUUAUGCCCCGGGCUGCACACGUGCUACAAUGGUCGGUACAAACGGAAGCGGAGCCGAGAGGUGAAGCGAAUCCUAAAAAGCCGAUCUCAGUCCGGAUUGGAGGCUGAAAUUCGCUUCCA
This 901-nucleotide ribosomal RNA is filed under the name uncultured Planctomycetota bacterium. RNAcentral's name for it is "bacterial SSU rRNA". It matches the Rfam family "Bacterial small subunit ribosomal RNA", at positions 439 to 1320 of the family's 1533-position model. Lineage: Bacteria; Pseudomonadati; Planctomycetota. The record is from RNAcentral.